CCCCACGCCCUACUCACCACCGCCUCUUGGCCACCGAACCACCACCACCCACCGCUCGUCCGACGAGCCGUCUCGCCGUUGGGCUCGACAAGCUGUCGCGCCAUCCGCGCCACCCCUCGCUGCCGUGAGCCACCGCCGCCGUCCCCAAGCCACCGCGACCACCUCUUGCCGCCGCUCGCUCGGCCGUUCGGGCCAUCGUUGCUCCGAACCGCCACCGCCUCCACCAGAACCGAGCUCUUCCCCCCUUGGCCAUGGGUUUCGCCGCGAUCGCCGCCGUCUUCGCCGCGCCGUCCGUGCCGCUGUUGGUGCCGUGAGGCUCGUGUCUUCAUCACCGUCGCGCCACCGCUGCCGCGUGCUUGCCCUUGACUUAUUGACUACGAAUUUAUUCUCUUAUUUUUUAUACAGGAACCGUGGAAAACAAGUGUAUUUGGUUUUUCCUGUUCGGGUUCCGAUUCGGAGAUAAUGGGGGAGGUGAAAAGGGGGAAGAAGGAAUCGAUUCAGCUCCAUCUCUCUUUGGCUCUUCCAUGGAAGAUUCUCGUUCCUCGCGAAACGAUAACCACCCAAUCGCGUCGAGAACGAGGCCAAUCGUCUCCUUGCAGAUCUGGGUCGAUCUUUUCUUACGUGCCCGAAUCGUGUUCUGCAAGUCGAGAAGCGCGUCUCUGAGCCAUGGGGAGGGGAAAGUUCAAGGGCAAGCCCACGGGUCGCCGCCGGUUCUUGACUCCCGACGAGAUGAGUAACCUGAGAGCGCAAAGAUUUGAUUUUUCUUGCGAAUUUCGACAACCCUCUUUCGUUCGGCAUCGCUUGUGAUUAUUGGGAAUAGCCCAUUCGUUGAGCGUCGGUUGGUUGUUUGUUUGGAUGUGGUCGGGCUAAAUUUGGGUGUGGUUCUGUUUCGUUGAAUCUAUUUGGUUUUCUGAGAUCGCCAUGUACAAAUAUGCAAGUUGUACCAGAGAGAUAAGUGAUAAGAAGAUGGGAAAAAACAAUCGACAAUUGAUUUUGUGCAUGCUAUUCCCUGUUUUAUGUAUUGCUUCAUGAAUGAAGCUUCAAUUAGUUCAUAACCUUGCGGGUAUCAAGAGUUUUCUGAACAAUGAUUGAUCAUGUUGUGGCGCUAUUUUAAUCCUGUGAAAAUGAAAAAAAAAAAAAACCUGUUGGAACUGGAACCGACCCUGGAACCUGUAACAGGGUAGGUUCCAGGUUCUUAGUUCUGACG
This 1207-nucleotide long non-coding RNA is filed under the name Eucalyptus grandis. RNAcentral's name for it is "long non-coding RNA (EGRA_LNC004334)". Lineage: Eukaryota; Viridiplantae; Streptophyta; Magnoliopsida; Myrtales; Myrtaceae. The record is from RNAcentral.